GUUGAUCAGACUUAACACAGCAAAUGGAAGAUUUCGUUAACUGAAUAUCACUAUUCUGUCUUCUGCAUAGGAGGACACUACCUCAAAUAAACACCAGGAUUCUUUCAAUGAGGAUGAAGAAAAACAGGCAGGAAUUUCCACUGAAACGGAGCCAGAUGACAAAGUGGUGCCACCAGCAGCUGACAAAGAAGGUAAACUUUUUUCUUUUUUUUUUUUUUUAAUGGUUUCAGCUUAAAUUAAAAUCUUUUAAGUAUUUUGAUAUUUGCAGUAAUGAUUUCUAGUGUAAAGUGAGUGGUUUAAUGAGACAUUUUUAUCUACCAGACAUUGUUUAUCUAUCAGCUCAUAGUGGUCAUUUACUUUAAUUUUAUGUUGUACAAUCUUUACAGCUGCUGAUGCUGUUGUAUGUGAACCAGGAGAGGUCACAGAGGAAAACACAAUAGCUGUGGUCUCUAGUCCUGCUGAACAAGACUUAGAACUGUCCAGAGGAGAACAGCCUGAUGUUUCAGACACAAAGAGCAGCCCCAGGGCAGAGGUAGCUGAGGAGAACCAGGUCAUAAUGGACAUAAGCAACAGUGAAGCUGAGAGUAAGACAGCAGCAGAAGAAAAUGUGGCAGAAGAGAAGAGUGAUCCACAAACUAUGGAAACCAGUGUUCCAGAGCAGGCCGAGAACGUCAGAGAAGGAGAACCUGAGAUUCAGCCCAAAUUAGUGAAACAAAUCAGUAAUGCCUCCAGCACAGGCAGCCAGGAAGAUGAGAAAGGAUCAGACUCAUCAGAGAAAGAAGAGAAGACAGAAAGAAGAGGAAGACGAAAACGUAAGCUGUCCACUCACAAAGGUGAUGAGCAGGAAGAAAAAGAAAGUAAAAAGCAGCUGCCUACUGAGGAAACUGAGCAGGAGAAGGUUGUUGAAGUGAAAUCACCACGCAGGGGGCGAUCGUCCAGAACCACCGAGGAGGCAGAGAAGGACCAACCCAAGGCACCUGAGAAAAUGGAGGAGACUCUGAGCCGCAGGGGAAGACGUUCAGGAGCUGCAGCCAAAGAAGCUGCUGCUGAUGAUCAGAGCAAAGAUGAGACUGAAGACGAGGAGAGCACAGACGCAACCUCAUCAGGGAAACCAGCAGAGAAGGAAGAGACGACUGAAGAACAAAGUGCACCAAAGAAAAGUGGUCGGAGGGGAAGUCAGGGCAGUCUGUCGACUCCUGUUCCAGAGGAGUCUGAAGCUGCAGGAAGCUCCGAGUCCAGAGAGACAGCUGACACACGUGCGUUUUGUUUUUAA
This 1273-nucleotide long non-coding RNA is filed under the name Mastacembelus armatus (zig-zag eel). RNAcentral describes it as "lncRNA (ENSMAMG00000025664.1)". The record is from RNAcentral. Lineage: Eukaryota; Metazoa; Chordata; Actinopteri; Synbranchiformes; Mastacembelidae.